This 482-nucleotide ribosomal RNA is filed under the name uncultured bacterium. Its description in RNAcentral is "bacterial SSU rRNA". It matches the Rfam family "Bacterial small subunit ribosomal RNA", at positions 29 to 523 of the family's 1533-position model. The record is from RNAcentral.
AGUGAACGCUGGCGGCAGGCCUAAUACAUGCAAGUCGAACGGCAGCACAGCAGAGCUUGCUCUGUGGGUGGCGAGUGGCGGACGGGUGAGGAAUACAUGGGAAUCUGCCCAGUCGUGGGGGAUAACGUAUGGAAACGUACGCUAAUACCGCAUGCGCCCUACGGGGGAAAGUCGGGGACCGCAAGGCCUGACGCGAUUGGAUGAGCCCAUGUUCGAUUAGCUAGUUGGCGGGGUAAAGGCCCACCAAGGCGACGAUCGAUAGCUGGUCUGAGAGGAUGAUCAGCCACACUGGAACUGAGACACGGUCCAGACUCCUACGGGAGGCAGCAGUAGGGAAUAUUGGACAAUGGGGGCAACCCUGAUCCAGCAACGCCGCGUGGAGGAUGAAGGUCUUUGGAUUGUAAACUCCUUUUGCAGGGGAAGAGUGAGGACGGUACCCUGAGAAUAAGUCACGGCUAACUACGUGCCAGCAGCCGCGGUAA